RNAcentral lists this ribosomal RNA (253 nucleotides) under uncultured bacterium. RNAcentral describes it as "partial 16S ribosomal RNA". It matches the Rfam family "Bacterial small subunit ribosomal RNA", at positions 524 to 776 of the family's 1533-position model. The record is from RNAcentral.
UACGGGGGGGGUAAGCGUUGUUCGGAAUUACUGGGCGUAAAGCGCGUGUAGGCGGUUUGAUAAGUCAGACGUGAAAUCCCUCAGCUUAACUGAGGAAUUGCAUCUGAUACUGUCAGACUUGAGUAUCGGGGGGGAUGGUGGAAUUCCUGGUGUAGAGGUGAAAUUCGUAGAUAUCAGGAGGAACACCUGUGGCGAAGGCGGCCAUCUGGAAGAUUACUGACGCUGAGACGCGAAAGCAUGGGGAGCAAACAGG